GGCGCGAGCCGGGCGCCCGGGAUGAUGCCGCCGCCGCCGCCGCCCGCCGCCGCCGCCAGGGGAAGGGUUCGGGUUCGGGUCCGGGUCGGGCUCGGCUGGCGCGGGGUGCGGGACGGCCCAGGGCACGGCGGCUGCAGCGGGAGCACACUGAGCGCCCGCCCGCCAUGUCCAGGAAGAAGACCCCCAAGAGCAAAGGGGCCAGCACCCCCGCUGCCUCCACGCUGCCCACCGCCAACGGGGCCCGACCGGCGCGCUCCGGGACUGCGCUUUCCGGCCCCGACGCGCCGCCCAACGGGCCCUUGCAGCCCGGCCGGCCCUCGCUUGGCGGCGGUGUCGACUUCUACGACGUCGCCUUCAAGGUCAUGCUGGUGGGGGACUCGGGCGUGGGGAAGACCUGUCUGCUGGUGCGAUUCAAGGAUGGUGCUUUCCUGGCGGGGACCUUCAUCUCCACCGUAGGCAUUGACUUCCGGAACAAAGUUCUGGACGUGGAUGGUGUGAAGGUGAAGCUGCAGAUGUGGGACACAGCUGGUCAGGAGCGGUUCCGCAGUGUUACCCAUGCCUACUACCGGGAUGCUCAUGCUCUGCUGCUGCUCUACGAUGUCACCAACAAGGCCUCCUUUGACAACAUCCAGGCCUGGCUGACCGAGAUCCACGAGUACGCCCAGCACGACGUGGCGCUCAUGCUGCUGGGGAACAAGGUGGACUCUGCCCAUGAGCGUGUGGUGAAGAGGGAGGACGGGGAGAAGCUGGCCAAGGUGAGUCAGGGCAGGGGGGUGGUGAGGGGGUGCCCCUGGAGGCUGCGAGCCUAGGCUGUCCCCGCCAGGCCACCACCUGGCUGGCAGCAGCUGUUUACAGGAGUAUGGACUGCCCUUCAUGGAGACCAGCGCCAAGACGGGCCUCAACGUGGACUUGGCCUUCACAGCCAUAGCAAAGGAGUUGAAGCAGCGCUCCAUGAAGGCUCCCAGCGAGCCGCGCUUCCGGCUGCAUGAUUACGUUAAGAGGGAGGGUCGAGGGGCCUCCUGCUGCCGCCCUUGAACCUGGCUGAGCUCAGUCCUCUGGAGGAAGCCGCCCAGCCCCUAGAAGGCUGGACAGAGGGUCUCCAGGCCCUUCUGACUUUGUUGCCCUGUGGCCAACGCCCGAGUGUCUGUUUUCAGGAGCCCCAGGUCAAGCCUUGUCCCUUCCUCCUCCCAGCAACAGUCCCGACAAGCAGGCUUCUGAGAGCCCGUGGCCGCACACUGGCCGCCACGGAAAAGCAGUCUUCUGCACGGGACGGGGAGCAGCAAGUGGACAGACUUUGCCACGGUGCUCUGCUGCCCCCUCCUGGGCACGUCCAGGUGAGGGAGGGCUGGGGCUGGCACCACGCACAGUGCCUAACCCUAGAAAAGCCAUGUCUUCAGCCGCACAUGCUCAGGCAGCUAAGGGAGGACGCCUGCCCACGCCUGGGACAGAAGGCUUCACUGCUAAUCACAUCGUGCAUCUGUGUGUCCUGGGAGCUGCCUGCUCCCCGCCCACCCUCUAGGAGGCUCUGGCUCAAACAGCAAUAGGGUCUUCCUCACUGACCUUGGAGGAUGCCUGUGGCCUUGUGAUAAAAUGUGGGAAAUCACAGAAAACACCAGAAACAACAACUGCCAGCCCGGCCACAGCUGAGGUCUGUGAUUUCCGAGCACGCUCCACCUUGCACUCAACUUGGCCUUUUGAUUGCAAGCCUUUGUUUUCA
RNAcentral lists this small RNA (1717 nucleotides) under Pan troglodytes (chimpanzee). RNAcentral describes it as "retained intron". The record is from RNAcentral. Lineage: Eukaryota; Metazoa; Chordata; Mammalia; Primates; Hominidae.